AUUUUCACCACAAGGCAGUGAGGGGGUUGAUGCUUACAACAUCUGUGGCUAAAUCCUUGGGCUUGGAUUGAAAUGAACUUCUGGUUGCUCUUCAUUUAUGGCCUCUCUCUCUCAAACAACUUUUUUUGAACUUGAAGUUUGACCACCAAGACUCCUCUGCCAUGUACUCCUCUGUAUGCAGUCUUUCCUGAUAUCUAGAGCUUUCUCAUCUUGCAGAACAGAAAUUCUGUAUCCAUUGAACAAUUCCUUUUGCACCAGCCUGGUGCCUGGACAUCCCAAGGGACCAGGAAACUGAUGUGAAGCACGGCUCCUCUCUGUCAAGGCCUGAGCGAUUUUCCCACUUCUAAUCUUUCUUCU
This is a long non-coding RNA of Dama dama (fallow deer), 357 nucleotides long. RefSeq lists it as uncharacterized. The record is from RefSeq and is a predicted model, not a curated record. The transcript has 4 exons. NCBI's taxonomy places the organism in Eukaryota, Metazoa, Chordata, Mammalia, Artiodactyla, Cervidae.